UGACUCCGUCUCCCAAGUAUGUUUUUUUCAACCUUUCUUUCUACUUAGACGUUCAAGUUACUUUAUCUCUUCUGUUUCUCUUAUAAGUGCUGUGUUUCAGGGGAUUCUUUUAGGUUCCUAUAGUAUAGUUUAAGAAAACUGGUUGUGUCAGCUGAAGUACAACAUUCUGCAUUAAAAGUCAACGGCGACAUUCUUUCAGGUUUGCUUAACUAAUCGCGAGGAACACCACACAAGUAAAGUUAAACUUUCUUCAAAUAGGACACAAAACCAGCAAUUUGCUUAACUCUGCUCUCUGAACUGUUCUUCUAUAUAACAGAGUUGUUUUUUCCGAGCUUCC
Arabidopsis thaliana (thale cress) is the source of this 337-nucleotide long non-coding RNA. RefSeq annotates it as other RNA. NCBI's taxonomy places the organism in Eukaryota, Viridiplantae, Streptophyta, Magnoliopsida, Brassicales, Brassicaceae. The transcript has a single exon. The record is from RefSeq.